CUUAUUUGCUUUUCUUCUUUUUAUUUUACUCUUACCUUAACUUCUUCACCCCCUUCUGCCAUCUUCUCUCUCACAGCUUCUUUGCCGAUCCUCCACAGACAAAUUCACACAAAAUCUCUGUUUUUCCCUAAAAGGGUUGCUUCUGUAUGCAAUUUUAUCAAUACCCAGAAGAAAUUCUUGUUCUACACAUCCAAGAUUUGCUCUGUAGGGUUAUCGCAGUGGCGUUCUUAGGAUUUUUUCGGUUUUCAUCAACCCCAUAUCAGCAAAAGUUAUAAUAGGGUUGGUGAUUUUUUUGUUGAAAGUUAUGGUGUCUUCGAUGUUUUGCUAUGCACCCAGUUGAAACAGACACGGAUUAUCCUCCGUUUUACUCAAGAAAGAGAUUAAAGUCUUUAGAUUUGAUGGGAAUGGAUGCAACUUCAAUGGAUACUGUUGGGGAUGAAAAACACGAUGAUGUAGUGUCUACAAUGGAGUUAACUGUUGGGUCAACGAAGAAUCAAGUUGGUUCUUUGAAGAUCAUGAAGGGAUGAAACAUGGGCCGCACUCUCUUAUGGAGCUUUAUUCAUGGUGUCAUUAUGGAUACAUUGUGGAUUCAGUGAUGAUGAGUUUGUGUAUCCGUAGCAUUUUUCUAGGUCCUAUAUUUAGCUCUGUAGUACAUGGUGCAGCUGUUUCUCCUACAAUCCCAGCCUUUCUGUUGGAAGAUGUUUGUUUUAUUAUGUUGGAUGUACAAUUGAAUUUUCUGAGCAUAGGCUACAUGUAAACUGAACAUAUGUAAAACAGUUUACCCGGUUUUGAUGGGUGGAAUCCCUCGAUUGAGCUGCUACACUGCUACUGAUCACUUAACUUUUUUAAAUUAGAUAUGGCUGGGUUUUAGUCGAA
This is a long non-coding RNA of Solanum tuberosum (potato), 876 nucleotides long. RefSeq lists it as uncharacterized. Lineage: Eukaryota; Viridiplantae; Streptophyta; Magnoliopsida; Solanales; Solanaceae. The record is from RefSeq and is a predicted model, not a curated record. The transcript has 3 exons.